UCUCUGCCUGUGUAAGAUUCUUUUGAUAUUUGUUUGUAUGUUUAAUUUCUUUUUUAUUUUCAAACAUACAAACAAAUAUCAAAAGAAUCUUACACAGGCAGAGA
Pelobates cultripes (western spadefoot toad) is the source of this 104-nucleotide non-coding RNA. The record is from the annotation of a GenBank genome assembly. Lineage: Eukaryota; Metazoa; Chordata; Amphibia; Anura; Pelobatidae.